This 23-nucleotide non-coding RNA is filed under the name Arabidopsis thaliana (thale cress). Lineage: Eukaryota; Viridiplantae; Streptophyta; Magnoliopsida; Brassicales; Brassicaceae. The record is from RNAcentral.
GGCAAACUCUAUGUGCUAAUGUG